RNAcentral lists this ribosomal RNA (1066 nucleotides) under Enterobacter cloacae. RNAcentral's name for it is "bacterial SSU rRNA". It matches the Rfam family "Bacterial small subunit ribosomal RNA", at positions 54 to 1109 of the family's 1533-position model. Lineage: Bacteria; Pseudomonadati; Pseudomonadota; Gammaproteobacteria; Enterobacterales; Enterobacteriaceae. The record is from RNAcentral.
CAUGCAAGUCGAACGGUAGCACAGAGAGCUUGCUCUCGGGUGACGAGUGGCGGACGGGUGAGUAAUGUCUGGGAAACUGCCUGAUGGAGGGGGAUAACUACUGGAAACGGUAGCUAAUACCGCAUAACGUCGCAAGACCAAAGAGGGGGACCUUCGGGCCUCUUGCCAUCAGAUGUGCCCAGAUGGGAUUAGCUAGUAGGUGGGGUAACGGCUCACCUAGGCGACGAUCCCUAGCUGGUCUGAGAGGAUGACCAGCCACACUGGAACUGAGACACGGUCCAGACUCCUACGGGAGGCAGCAGUGGGGAAUAUUGCACAAUGGGCGCAAGCCUGAUGCAGCCAUGCCGCGUGUAUGAAGAAGGCCUUCGGGUUGUAAAGUACUUUCAGCGGGGAGGAAGGUGUUGAGGUUAAUAACCUCAGCAAUUGACGUUACCCGCAGAAGAAGCACCGGCUAACUCCGUGCCAGCAGCCGCGGUAAUACGGAAGGGUGCAAGCGUUAAUCGGAAUUACUGGGGCGUAAAGCGCACGCAGGCGGUCUGUCAAGUCGGAUGUGAAAUCCCCGGGCUCAACCUGGGAACUGCAUUCGAAACUGGCAGGCUAGAGUCUUGUAGAGGGGGGUAGAAUUCCAGGUGUAGCGGUGAAAUGCGUAGAGAUCUGGAGGAAUACCGGUGGCGAAGGCGGCCCCCUGGACAAAGACUGACGCUCAGGUGCGAAAGCGUGGGGAGCAAACAGGAUUAGAUACCCUGGUAGUCCACGCCGUAAACGAUGUCGACUUGGAGGUUGUGCCCUUGAGGCGUGGCUUCCGGAGCUAACGCGUUAAGUCGACCGCCUGGGGAGUACGGCCGCAAGGUUAAAACUCAAAUGAAUUGACGGGGGCCCGCACAAGCGGUGGAGCAUGUGGUUUAAUUCGAUGCAACGCGAAGAACCUUACCUACUCUUGACAUCCAGAGAACUUAGCAGAGAUGCUUUGGUGCCUUCGGGAACUCUGAGACAGGUGCUGCAUGGCUGUCGUCAGCUCGUGUUGUGAAAUGUUGGGUUAAGUCCCGCAACGAGCGCAACCCUUAUC